This 324-nucleotide long non-coding RNA is filed under the name Coturnix japonica (Japanese quail). RNAcentral's name for it is "lncRNA (ENSCJPG00005017140.1)". Lineage: Eukaryota; Metazoa; Chordata; Aves; Galliformes; Phasianidae. The record is from RNAcentral.
CCCAGGGUUCUGGACAAUCUGGGAGGGGUAGGCAAUGUACAAAGGGGGUAGAUGUAGUAGCAAAGUAAGAUUCUCAUAACACCCUGUUCUCUCAACUUCUCAGGAUCCUCAGGGUACCCUAGUGAACGGUGGCAGAUUUAAUGGCAAUCAAGACGGUUGGACAGAGUGAUAAUGGAAACAGCUUUGUGACACCAGUCAUCUAUGACUUCUGAAUAUUUUCCACCUGAUCUCAGUCUAUAAUCCUAAAUCUACCCUGAUGAUGAAGAAUUUCGCUUAGGAACGCAGAGAUCCUUUGUCCUUUUCCCAGUGCAAUGCAAAUAAACC